Molecule: small nucleolar RNA, 107 nt
Filed under: Sorghum bicolor (sorghum)
Lineage: Eukaryota; Viridiplantae; Streptophyta; Magnoliopsida; Poales; Poaceae
Description: Plant small nucleolar RNA R71
Rfam family: Plant small nucleolar RNA R71
About the family: R71 is a member of the C/D box family of snoRNAs containing the C (UGAUGA) and D (CUGA) box motifs.
Source: Rfam by way of RNAcentral
AUUCCAUGAUUGGGACAUUCUAGGAUGUAGUCUUGAAAGCGCUCCCAUGCUUCUGGAACAGAUUCAUCAUUUUGUUGGUGAAAACUUGUAAUCUUCCCACGGAGAGC